RNAcentral lists this ribosomal RNA (1324 nucleotides) under Meloidogyne incognita (southern root-knot nematode). RNAcentral describes it as "SSU rRNA". It matches the Rfam family "Eukaryotic small subunit ribosomal RNA". The record is from RNAcentral. Lineage: Eukaryota; Metazoa; Nematoda; Chromadorea; Rhabditida; Meloidogynidae.
CGUAGGGUUCAGGCAAUAGGUUUUUUCCGAUUAAAAAUUGCCUCAGGCAAAGUAGACCAAAGUGCAAUUGACCAAGUGUCGUAGGGUUCAGGCAAUAGGGUUCCCCCAGGCAAUCAAAUUUCACCAGGCAUUUUUGCGGUUAAAAAUUGCUGCGGUUAAAAAGCUCGUAGUUGGAUUCGUAUCGGUAUCCUGGAACCCUCCGGGUGUUUCUGGGUGUUAUCGAUUUAUCGUAAUGUUCGGUUUUGAGUCCUUAACAGGAUUCUUAACAGGCAUUGCAAGUUUACUUUGAACAAAUCAGAGUGCUUCAAACAGGCGUUUUCGCUUGAAUGAUCGUGCAUGGAAUAAUAGAAAACGAUUUCGGUUCAGUUUUAUUGGUUUUACGGACUGAGAUAAUGGUUAACAGAGACAAACGGGGGCAUUUGUAUGGCCCCGUGAGAGGUGAAAUUCUUGGACCGUGGCCAGACAAACUACAGCGAAAGCAUUUGCCAAGAAUGUUUUUAUUAAUCAAGAACGAAAGUCAGAGGUUCGAAGGCGAUCAGAUACCGCCCUAGUUCUGACCGUAAACGAUGCCAACUAGCGAUCCGCCGAUGGAAAUUAUAUUGCCUUGGUGGGGAGCUUCCCGGAAACGAAAGUCUUCCGGUUCCGGGGGAAGUAUGGUUGCAAAGCUGAAACUUAAAGGAAUUGACGGAAGGGCACCACCAGGAGUGGAGCCUGCGGCUUAAUUUGACUCAACACGGGGAAACUCACCCGGCCCGGACACUGUGAGGAUUGACAGAUUGAUAGCUUUUUCAUGAUUCAGUGGAUGGUGGUGCAUGGCCGUUCUUAGUUCGUGGAGUGAUUUGUCUGGUUUAUUCCGAUAACGAGCGAGACUCUAACCUACUAAAUAGUUGGUGCAUACUCUUUGUGUAUACAGCUUCUUAGAGGGAUUUGCGGCGUUCAGCCGAAAGAAAUUGAGCAAUAACAGGUCUGUGAUGCCCUUAGAUGUCCGGGGCUGCACGCGCGCUACACUGGCAAAAUCAACGUGCUUGUCCUACCCUGAAAGGGGCGGGUAAACCAUUGAAAAUUUGCCGUGAUUGGGAUCGGAAAUUGCAAUUAUUUUCCGUGAACGAGGAAUUCCAAGUAAGUGCGAGUCAUCAGCUCGCGUUGAUUACGUCCCUGCCCUUUGUACACACCGCCCGUCGCUGCCCGGGACUGAGCCAUUUCGAGAAAUUUGGGGACCGUUGAUUUAAUUUUUCUAAAUUACUUUGAUGGAAACCAAUUUAAUCGCAGUGGCUUGAACCGGGCAAAAGUCGUAACAAGGUAGCUGUAGGUGAACCUGCUGCUG